Molecule: ribosomal RNA, 429 nt
Filed under: Bacteroidota bacterium
Lineage: Bacteria; Pseudomonadati; Bacteroidota
Description: Bacteroidetes bacterium partial 16S ribosomal RNA
Rfam family: Bacterial small subunit ribosomal RNA
Source: RNAcentral
UAGGGAAUCUUCGGCAAUGGGGGGAACCCUGACCGAGCAACGCCGCGUGAGUGAAGAAGGAUUUCGGAUCGUAAAGCUCUGUUGUUAAGGAAGAAUGAGCGUGAGAAUGGAAAGUUCAUGCUGUGACGGUACUUAACCAGAAAGGGACGGCUAACUACGUGCCAGCAGCCGCGGUAAUACGUAGGUACCGAGCGUUGUCCGGAUUUAUUGGGCGUAAAGCGAGCGCAGGCGGUUAGAAAAGUCUGAAGUGAAAGGCAGUUGCUCAACCAUUGUAGGCUUUGGAAACUGUUUAACUUGAGGGCAGAAGGGGAGAGUGGAAUUCCAGGUGUAGCGGUGAAAUGCGAAGAUAUAUGGAGUAACACCGGUGGCGAAAGCGGCACUCUGGUCUAUAACUGACGCUGAGGCUCGAAAGCGUGGGGAGCGAACAGG